CCUGGUGCUUGUAAGCAAUGGGUUCUAUUUUUGCGCGCUAGCCACAUGAAGAGGAGUUAACCAUGUAUAGAUUAGAAGAAGAUAAUUGUCUACAUAAUAUGUCAUUAGCUAAGGAAGGAAGAUAUCAAAUUGAGAAUAUCCAUCUGUUGGUAAUAUUCAUACAAAGGUUGUCCUAUAAUAGUCUUUCUGAAAGCAUUAAUCCAAGAGAGA
RNAcentral lists this long non-coding RNA (210 nucleotides) under Elaeis guineensis (African oil palm). Its description in RNAcentral is "long non-coding RNA (EGUI_LNC025524)". The record is from RNAcentral. Lineage: Eukaryota; Viridiplantae; Streptophyta; Magnoliopsida; Arecales; Arecaceae.